RNAcentral lists this long non-coding RNA (212 nucleotides) under Elaeis guineensis (African oil palm). RNAcentral describes it as "long non-coding RNA (EGUI_LNC038655)". Lineage: Eukaryota; Viridiplantae; Streptophyta; Magnoliopsida; Arecales; Arecaceae. The record is from RNAcentral.
UGAUUGCAUUCCAUUACUAGCUUGCAUACACAGCAUCUUACUUAAUUUAUUUGAAAAAUCUAUACAUAUUUGUUUCAAUUUUUAGAAAUCCAAUUUACUCCCAUAUUGGGUUAUCUAGUUGGGCAACACUACUACAGUUAGGGACUUAUUCUGCAAGUCAAGUCAUUGCCGCUUGACAUCAGCCACAUCUCUUCUCCAACUAAUCCGACCUC